GUCCCAAUAUCCACGAUAGAGUCAUUAAACAACUUUAUGUAUUACAUUGUAAUUAUAUUUGCAUCUUGCAUAUUAAGGACCAACCCUAUUAUGAGGGUUUGGAUGGGGUUAAAUGAUUAAAGAAUAAUGCCCUUAAAAAUGAAGAUUAGAGAAUAAUGAGCCAAAAAAUAGAAGAUUAGAGAAUAAAAGGGUUAAUUUUUGGAAGAUUAGAGAAAAAAGGGGUUAAUUUUUUAAAGAUUAGAGAAAAAUGGGGUGAAAAUUAAAUGUUUACAGAAUAACAGACCCCCCCCAUCCAUACCCUCUAUUAUUUCAACUCUGUUUGAGUUUUCAUUUUAUUCCGUACUUAUCGUGCUCGUGUUGCAUACCAAUGCCUUUGUUUCAUUUUAUUAGGACAAAAAAAAAAAACAUUGCUUAGAAAGCAAAAUACAUUUGAUAUAGAUAGUCCAACUUAAGAGAGCAUUUCUCCACAUUUCUGUUGUUUACUAUAAAAUAGGUUUCUAAAGUGGCAAUUACAUGUAGAACAGUGGUUGCCAAUCAGAUAUAUAUAUUUACGAAUUUGAAAAAGCGGCAUCAGCAUAUGGAGUAUAUGUGUCUCAAUUGAUACGUUACUCUAGAGCUAGCUAAAAGUACCUUAAUUUUGUUGAACAAGGAAUACUGCUUUCUCAAAAGUUGCUAAGACAGGGCUAUGAAUCAAUCAAAUUAAGGUCAUUACUCAAGCAAUUUUAUGGUCGCCAUCAUGAGCUGAUUGGCCAUUAUCACGGGUAGUAAGGUCGUCAUAUCGAGAAGCGUUUAGUACAGUGAUUUUGUCAUAGUUUGGAUAAGUUUGACAUGACGGUGUUAAGUGUUUUUGAUGACUAUCAAUGCAAAAAUGUAAACAUUCGGAUAUUUUGUAAAAUGAACUUCUGAUCAAUAAUUCAAGCUGGUAAGUACCUUUGUAUAAAGUAUAUAUGUUAGUACAUCACAAGUUGUAUCAUAUAGUUAAAGAUUUAACACAGAAUAAAGCUUGCGUAUAUCAAAAUUUA
This 1022-nucleotide long non-coding RNA is filed under the name Mytilus galloprovincialis (Mediterranean mussel). Lineage: Eukaryota; Metazoa; Mollusca; Bivalvia; Mytilida; Mytilidae. The record is from RNAcentral.